GUAUACGAAUCAUAGAUGGCAUUUCUUCAAAUAUAAAUUGUGCGGACUAACAGACGACAUGUUUGUACACAAGAAAUAAGAUGUAUUAUAAACUUCAAAACAGUUUUGGAAAUUUUUAAUAAUAUCGAAAAUAAGACUUGAUUAUGAUCUUGACAUAGCCAGAAUCCUUGAGCUUUCUUCUUAUUUUGUGUACAAUCAUGGAGUUGAACAAUGUGGGAAGCAACAAAAAUUCAAUAUAUAUAGCAAUAUCACUUAGGAAAUUAUGUUUAGUAACAGUGUCUUUACCACUUGUUACUUUGUUAGUCUGUUUUAUUACAGGAUAUAUCUUUCAACAAGAUGACAUUCAUGAAACACACUGUAGGGUCUAUAAUGUACUUCCAUCGAUAUCAGCCAUUACUGGCAUUUCUCCGCAAAGGUAUUUGUGGCGUGUAACCAUAGCAUUACACAUUGGUCCUCGCCUACUUAUCGCUAGUGUUUAUUACUCAUAUUAUUAUAAUAUACUCAAAGCAAUUGAAGAUGUAACUUUGAAGAUUAAGGGAAGUCGACUUUUGAAUUUAUGUUAUUGGUUGAACAUAGCAGAAGUGGCAACCUUGUGUGGUGUUACAUACAUUUCCAAUAGAGAAAAUUAUUCGGUACAUGAAAAAAUCUUCAUUGGCUUUAUGAUUAGUUCCUUAACAUAUAUGUUAACAGCAGUAAGGCUAGGUCGCCUUGUAACACCAGAUGCGCCAAGUCUUCAGUACAAACAAGCACUUUUUGUAACAAGUCUUAUUAGUACUAUUGGACUCAUUGUGUUUUUCUUAAAACACAGAUUGCUCUGCCAUGACCUGGCAUUUAGUUGGUUUUCCUUAUGUGAAUAUGUGAUUGCCUCUGCGAACAUGGGUUUUCAUGUUACCGUAGUUCUAGAUUUUCCCAAGGAACAGCUGGUUGUUGGGAACGGUUUACCAACCAUAAAGGUGGAUUAACUCCUUAUAAUAUUUUAUAUUUAUCAUUAUCCUAUUAUUGUCAUCAAAGUGCCUACUGCCACUGUCUGGAAGUGCUAUUGCCAAGAAUUUAAAGUACAUAUGUUAUAUUAUAUGAAGCUGAGUAUCCACUGGUAAAUACUGGUGAACAUUUUUUAACGAAACAUCUUUAUAAUACAACAAAGAGUUUAAAAUAGUUCUUACCAAACAUUUUAUACAUACAGUGAUUUUGAUGAUAUUAUUGACAGUAAAACAUAAACUAAAUUAUAAAUGUUAUGCUUAUCUUCGAGAUAAGCAGAAAGUAAAAUUAUACUUAAAUGUCACAUCUGAACACUUUUAUUUUUCAAAAGAAAUAUAUAUUACAAAGUAUUUAGUCCUUUUGUAUUAAAAAGAAUAGGUUACAAAGAUUUCAAAAUUUUCUUUGAAUAUCCGUAAUUUAUUUUUAUAAUUUUUAAUUAUUGAUUUCAAAAAUUUUUAAUUUAUGUGAACAUUUUUUUAACGCUUAUCCGUCCCUUGUGUCAGUUUAAUAUGUUACGGUAAAUAUAAAAAAAGUAGGACGUCCUCGGCAUCGUUUUAUUAUUUGUUAAUGAUGUAACAACGCAGACAAUGCAAAUUUUAUGGCUGAAUGCAUAAAAAUGAAAUCUUUUUUAUUUUCGAUAAAUAAAUUUGCGAACUAUUUUCUUUUAGUUAGAUUAAUUUUUUACUAUUGUGUUAAUUUUGAUACCAAAGGACAAAUUAAGUUGGGAAAGUGAGGGACGGAUGAGGAAGCAUGUUUCAGUAAACCGAGAUAUUAGAGUUUGACAUACAUUAUCUAUGCUUCCUAACUUUCAUAACAUAUGCUACAGUAGUAUCAGAUUACAAUCGUCUUUCGAUAUUACAGUUCACAUAUCUGAGAAUCAAAACAUCUGGUUAUAUUAUUUCGAUUUUUAAUAUUACUGGUAUUACAAUAUUAAUUCGAAAUUCUAAGAAAAAAUUAACACUCUUCCAAUUUGUUUAAUAUGAAUAUAUCUAUAAUUUCUGAUGUCUCAUUAAUGAUUAUAUAAUGGUAGUCUUUACCUGUUGUAUACUAAAUUUCUGGGGUUUUAGUUAAUAUGAAAGCUUCAUUAAAUAUAUUUACUUCAUUUUUAUACAAUAAUAUAUUUUAUAGCUUAUGUUGAGUUUGUAAUAAUAUAUUUUCUAUGGAGGAACUUCAUCUUCCUCUUAUCUACUAUCGUUUUCUUUUUGUUUUUCACUAAGUUUGAAUAUUUUUUCUCGAACUAUUAAUAAUGCAUAACAAAAUUUUAUUGAAUCUAAUCUUAAAUCUCGCUCAUAUUUGCUACAAUUAUUGUAAUCCAAAGAUAUUGAAACUUGGAUAAUACAUUUAUAUACAUGUACACGCCACAAAUAUUUAUUAUAUUUAACAAUUUUACUGAAAUCAUAAAAUAUUGACAAGUGUUCAAAAAUAUUUUAUAUAUUGAGUGGAUACACAGGACAAUGCACAAAAUUUCUCCAAUUAACUUAUAUUUAUUUUAAUGAAGGAAAUAUCAGCUUGAAUAUAUUUUACAGUAUUAUAUAAACAGUUUUUAUUUUAUUUAAAAAGUUUUGUUAUUCUUAAUUUGCAAUUGAAACACAACACAAGUAUCUUCCAAUUAUUUUCAAUAUACAAAGGCACAAUUAAAAUGAUAAAGCAAAGAAUCUAGCGCUUCCAAAGUAUGGCAUUGGUAUCUUCCCAGGCAAUGAAAUCUUUAAUGGCCUUUUAGGUAGUGGAAACUUGUAGUGAUACUAGACAAGUAUGUAUCCUACAUUCAAACAAUAUAAAAUAUUAUAAAACCCCAAGAAGUGGGAUUCUGUAUUUAGUUUCUGCAUAUAGUUUAUUUGAAAAAGUGAGAAUGAAUAAUAAUAUAGAAAAAGAGAUUACAGCAUUAGCUGAUUUAUUACUAAUUUUAAACUUACUUUUGUAGAGACUUUUUUGCAAAAUGAGAAUUCUAGUCAAUAAUUAAUUCUAGUCAUUGUUUUCUGAUCUGUUUAAAAACAUUGUUGUGAAACAUCAUGAAUUCUGAUGCAUUGUUAGCAUGUAGGAUGCAUUUACAGUAGCACGACUUUCAUGUUUAAUGAAGGUACGUGCGUAAAAUAAGUGUAUGCAAUCUUAAUUUAAGGCACCGUAGAAAUAUUGUCCAACACUGUACAGCUGUAUAUCAUCAGUAUAUUUUAUCGUGUAUAAGUAUAUAUGACCCAUAUGUUAUGUAAAACAUAAUGCAACAGAAACAAAUUAUUUGAUGAUACUUAUAAAAUUAAUCAUUACAGUAUUAUGUUACAGAUGUAAGAAUUAAUGCUUAUGUUUGUAUUUAAUGUACAACCUUUAAGUGCAGUGUGAUAAUGGUCAAACAAUUGGCGUUUAUACAAUGAUGACGUUAAUAGAGGGAAAACAUAAAUGGAAAGUAAAAUCAAUAUUUAUCUUGUACAAUAUAUUCCUGACCAAAACUUGAAUUACGUCCAAAAUUACGGAACAACUUUCUGAAAUUCGAAUAAUUGUUUAUACUAAAUUUUAUAUCUAAAAGCCAUAAUUCUCUUUCAAAGUAUUUAUGGUAAUGUUUCAUUUGGAGCAUUAAAUGAAACAACAUUGUAGUAAAGCACAUUGCUGUAGAUGACUAAAUCUGUUUUGUAAAUUCAUAUAAUUAGCAUUCAGAAACACUAGAUGAAUGUCUCACACAGUGUUAUAGCAGAUAUAUUACUGAGUCGAUACAUUGUUUUCAGUGCAAAUGCUGACAAAUAGAACCUUAAUAACGUUUACUUAAGGGUGUCAUUAUUGCACAUUUUUACAUGCAAAUGUUAUUUUUAUGUUGUAUUGAGAUUUUUUUCAUUUCAUUUUCAAGUUUUAAUAUAAAACUAUUUCAAUAAUAGUUAAUGUGUUUAUGAAUAAAUUUAUAAUAAAACAUUGUAUAAACACAUUUCCUUGAAGUAUAUAUUCUUUAAUUAUGAACAGUUAAAUUUUUUAAAUAAUGAGACUACUUUCAAAUAUGAAGUUAUUUAAGUUGCAUCUUUUAAUUUACAUUAUGAUAUUAUUUUGAAGUUUCUUAAUGAGUUCACAUUUAUUACUAAUCGUAAUGAAAAAACAAUAUUUUUCGAUGUAAUUAUCAAACAUUAAACCCGUGCCAAGUGAUGUAUUAAUGAUACAUUCUAUGCAUCUGUUGUAUUGGCAACUAAGUCCAUGGUACUAUAUUGACUUCAGUCAAUUUACGACCUUUAUUAAUUUUUUAAUUUUUAUCGUGCAAUCAUUGUUUGAAUUUAUUUAUGACAAAUAAUUCAUAGGCUGUUUUAGUUUUAAGUACCCCUUGAAAAUCAAAUGAAUUUAUACGUGUAAUUUGCUUAUGAGUAGGUGUAGAUAAGACAUUUACUACUAAUUCUAAAAAUAUCCUAAAAAUAGUUGUAAAAUCUUUAAAGGAGUUUACAAAAACAAGUUGUUAUAUACAAAAUACCAGUAUAACAGUAAUUUGGAAAGUCAAAGGUCAACAUACUCUGUUUUCCUUUUCUCAAUUUUAGAAUUCUUCAGCUGGUUAAUGAUAGAUUGAUAUUUCAGGAAGGCCCUUGCCCCUUAUGUUAAUUGUAUAAAUUGUCAGGUAGCAAUAGAUGUUUCAAGUGAAGAGUUCACAUUUUAAGCACUUUAUCAAUUGGAGGACUUCUAUUUCAAGGAUAAAUAUCCCAGACAUCAGGAAUGUUACGUAUUUUUACAAUGACUGUUAACCAUAGAUCUAAUAAGGAUUUAUUUGGUUCAAUUGGAAGAUUUUUCAUAUAUUUGUCAUCAAUGGUGUAACACCAAGGGAAGAUAAUUUGAGUGAGGGAUGAUUGGUUUUUAUAAAUUUAUUAGAAACAUCGAUUAAUUGUACCAAAGAAGUGAGAAGAAACAAAUAAGCGAGUAGAUAUAUUAAUUCAGUUCAUAUUCUGUAGCAAAUUUAUAUAAUUUUUACUCAAUUAUCAUAAAUUAAACUUUGACUUCUUUGAGAUGUUGUUGUAAUUUGUUAGUAUGACGGCAGUGUCAGCCGGUGGCGACUGUUGUGUUGUGUAUUGUAGGAAAGUCCGAUGUAUAUAGGAUGUACAAUAAUGAUACCAGGAUGCUACGAGUUCUUGAAGAAUCUUACCUCUGUUCGAGCUGAGGACAGGUGAUUUUUUUGGAUUUUAUUGUAUAUUUAAUUUGAUUUUAUAGCGUGGUGAAGUUUCUUUGUUUUUAUGUUGCAUUUUAUUCCAGUGAAGUUCAUAGUUGUUUGUGGCUUCUGUUGUUUCUAAUGGUUUUUGCCUGAUAAUAUCUAUGUAAGACAGUUCUUCUGGUCUAUAUUAAGUUAAUAUGGAUAUGUUAGUUAGGUUUGAAUAAUAUUUGAUUUGUAUUUUUCUUUCCAGGCUGUGUCAUAUGUUAUGCAGCCCUUGUAGUUUGCUGAGUUGCUUCCACCAUGGUUAGUGCAUUUUACAUGCUCAUCUUUGACAUUCCAUUCUCAUUGUGGAGUGGUUCUAGAGCGAUAUUUCUGUGCGUAGCUAUAUCCAUGGCCUUUUUCACACUGGGAUAUUAUUUUUCAUGCGUGAAGGCUCAUUUGAAAUUUUUGUGUUUCAUAGUUUUAUAAUGAAAUAAAUAUUCUUGUUACUCGAGUUUGGUAAUAAUUUCAUAAAGGAAAACAAUAAUGGCGCUUUUGACAUUCUGUCCAAUGUUAUAGGAUACCAUUGAAGUUGGAUGACCUAACUCUUUUAAAUCAUCUGCUAUUGCCUUGGGGUCAGUGGAUAGGAGAGUUUGUAACCUGCAGUUCUUCAACAUUUUGGACAUCUUUUGGAUAUUAUGUACAUUAGGUACUAUCAAUAUCAGUUGGUGUUUUCUUGGCUUUGGCUGGUUGGACUUUACUUCUGUGCUCGCGUAUAUCACGACGCACUUCAAAUUUGUUUCACGCGAGAUUGUUGGAUCUUUAAUUACCUAUCGAAGGUAAGGUUUCAAUAGGAAUUGUGUUUCUACACAAAGUCAUUUUCAAAGAAGUCGUUUUAUUCCGAUGGUUAGGCAGUUUCUUUCUUCUUUUGUUUUGAGCUACUUUUCAACUCUGUUGGGAAUUUCUCCUAGUGAUUUUUCCUUGUAUGUGUGAUGAAAAGUUGGAUAUAGUUCUGUCUUAGAGAUUUUUUGCUUGGUUUAUUGUGGUUUUAUUUGGAUGGAAACUAUCAUUGUCUCUAGUCGUUGUGAACUGACUAAAUUUUUCUAAAAUCCGGUUCUAUGUGCCAUUGCUAAGAUCUUGCAUCAAGUGAUUUAUAAUGUUGUCGCCAUUAUCAAUUCUUUAUUAGCGGUUUGAAAUGUUUUAUACCUGUGUAGCUGACGCACAUACAAGCAUUACUAGUGUUAUUAUUUAUUUUGUUGUUAUUUGUGAGCCUACCUGGUAUGCUGUAUAGUCAUAUGGGUGAAUAAAUGUGAAUUUGUAACUGUAUAUGUCCAACAUAAACUGAAAUCACAUGAUGGUUCAUUUUUACCAAUGUGGUUCUAAUUUGUUUUGUUCAAAGGGUGUAUCAAGGGCUUUCCAACAUUUCACAUAGAAUAAUCUAGCAGCUUCAUUGAUCAGAGUAUCCAUGGCCUGAUUUGAUUGACUUGGUGUUGCUGUUCCUGGGAAUACAUUUUUGUUUUUCGCUCCUGUUAUAGUACUUUCUCAAAUUUACAUUUUUUCAAGUAUCAAUUUUUCUGGUUUUUCCUGCAAACUUACAUGUUAAUUCUUGCUUAUUAUCUGGACUUCAUAAUCUGAGCUGGGUAAAAUGGAUAAAUUAAUAACUGGUCAUGGAGAAAUGCAAAAGUUUUUGUGAUUAAUAAUAAUGAAAUUGAUAUUUCAGCAUGCUUUUUUAAAGUGGCAGAUUAAUAGGCACUGUGAACUCGAGUAUACAACUCUCACGUUUUAAGAAGACCCAGUCUCUCAUAUUAAUGAUUCUAAAAAUAUCCUAAAAAUUAAGUAGUUGCAAACUAUUUAAAGAAGUUUCCAAAAACAGUUUAUUAUAUACUAUAUACAUAAAUAGUGUGUUUAGAGAGCAUUGUGAUUUAUUAUUGUUUUUUUUUCAAUAUUAAAAUUAAUAAUGAGCUGGUACUUAUCGCAUAAUAUGAACUCGAUACUUUGAUAGGAUUAUAGCUAUUUUAAUGAAUGAAGAAGCCUGAUAGAGUUUGUGUAAAAUGUCAUAUACCUUAAGCACUAGCAUGCAAGUAAGGUCUCUUCUUGAGCUCAGCCACCUAAAGCUAUUUUCUUAAAUAUGAAAUAUACAUAAAUAUACCAUAGCAGAUUUUGCUUGUUUACACGUCUCCAGUUCUCACGUGGUUUAAAUAGAAAAAAUCAUUAAAACAAAAUAUAUGAGCAAAUAUUUCAUCAUUUUAAAGUAAAGUAAUUAAAUCUAUUACAGGGCGCAUAAGAAUAUACUUGUUAAAAUUGAUCAAGUUCUAAAGCGCAUUAGAUCUUUUAUCCGUUUUUCGAUUACAUUAUGGUCCAAUUUUUUCAGUGAAAGCUAUUUUGUCUUUUGUUUAAUGCUUUAUUUUCUUCAUUCCAUCUAGUAAUUUUAGUAUAUAAUUUUACCGAAGUAAUAACUAUAAUUUAGGAGAAAUUUUUUCUCUGUCUAUAGUAUAAACUUUAUACUAUAACGUCCUUUAAAAAACAACGCGCGAUUUAAGUGAAGACGUAGCUUUAGACGGCCACCUCAAACAGAGGCCGACUAUUGGAUUGAUGAAGUGCAACUUGAAGUAACCUUGACAUGUGUCAGAAUCUUUAUUUAAUUGAUGUCAGCCACUUGGCACGACAACUCUGUCGUGAAUUAGGCUGAAUGUCUUCUGUGGUUUAAACAGAGAUUUAUUAUGUAAAGUAGUUCAAAGAGUUAUGGAGCAGAGUGAUUACACAACUAUAAUUAUAAACUAUUUAUAUAUUAAGAACAUUGAUAAUCACGUACUUCGCACUUCGUUCGAAACAACAACACACGUAGAACAAUGCACCUAUGAUUAAAAAAAAAAGAAAAAGCUAUAGGCGAAAACUUUCUAUCGCGACUAACCGAAUCGCUGGAAACCACGAGAUAUUAGUGAUUCAUGAGCGGCUCAAAUUUAAAAGAGAUAAGUUUUUGCAGUGACAGUUAUACGUCAAUUUUUCUCGUUACAUACAUGCAUGCAUUUUAGCGCUUUUAAGAAGAGUUUUUACCACUUGAAUAUAUUAGCUACUGAAAGCAAAAAGAAAAUCAAAUUUCGAAUGGUUACGCAAGAUUAUACCAGAAGGACGCGCUAACAUAUUAUGAAGACGCGUUCACACCCUCAGAGUGACUAACGGAGAAUUAGUGAGAGAAAAGUUGAGGAAAAUAUUGCAAAAAAAGAAAGGUAACGCAGACGCUAGAAAAUCUGACUUCUUUAUGACUACUACUAUUCUAGUAUAGUAAUGUUUGGUUGUGAGUUGAUAUUUUAUGUAAUGUUGUCUACGUACAAAGUAUAUUUGUUUUCUUUCGUAAACUGUUUAGGAAGUUUGUGUGCAAGAAUGAGCCUCAUAGUAUUGUAGACUUUUCGUAUAGUUCGAAUUUCAUUGAACUUAAUCCAACAGCAAUAAUGACACUAAUGGAAAACAUAUCGAAACGAUAGUUUCUCGAUGAAUAAGAAACACAAAAAAUAAUAAUUUUUAGAAAAAAAGAAACAAAUAUUCGCGUUAACGAUGAUACAUGCUGCUGUACGACGAAAAAUUAGAAAAAUGCUUCGGUCCGCUACUUGUCCAGUCGAAAAAUCUAAAAAAACAGAAAUUUUUACGCGGAUAUUCUUGCUAUUAGCUCACGAAUAUUAAGCCUCCGGAACGUGUAUUUUUUAACAUAAUUUUGCUACCGAAACAGUUUUUCUGAUUUCACAUGUUAAACGGAAGAACGAACUGCUAUAUUGUUACAGUGGGUUUACUUCGACACGCGAUGAAUUCGAACGAUCGAUAAUUCUGUGAUAAUAAAUUUAAAUGAUUAUUUUUAUGUUUGCACGGUAGUUUGUGAAAUAUGUUCAUUGUCUCGUAUAGGCUAAGCCUAAUUAAAUUGACGUGAUGAAGAAGUCGCAUGAAUUUAUUAAUUUCUUUAGAGUGUAUGUUUAUUUCUAUUCGAAAAUCUUUAUAGACAUAUUAUCACAGAAUGUCUCUUUGUCGGAACACUACUGGGUGACGAAAAAAGUUUUUGAUGAUUCUUUGGUAAUCUAAAUGAAUCUGAAAAAUAUCCGUGUCAGAUUUUCCCAUUUUAUGAAUCAAAGAACUGUAGAUUACAUUGUAAAAUACAAAUCAACGAAAAUUUUCUGAAAUUAGAUUUAUACGAAUUUUUAUGCGCUGCGUAUUAUAAAGUUAUUCAAAACAGACAGGAAAAUCAAAAUAAGCUUUUGAAUCUAAAAAUGAAAUAAAUUUGGUUGUUUAUUGAAAUUUAUUUAGACUGAAAAAUUGGAUCUAAGUGCGACUGUGAGAGAAUAAAUGAAAACGACUUACCGUUAAAAAAUCAUUUAUUUAAUGAUAGAAUGGAAGAAUCAAAGAUAUAGUUAAACGCUAAUUCAUCACCCAAUAGUCAUAUCGUUGGACAGUCACAAAGUUCUAUAACUUGCAAUAUUUGCGCCAAAAUUAUGUGAAAAAUGGAAGAUUGAUUCAUUAUUUUUAAUUUCCUAAAACUGGUAAAAGUAGCGUUGCAAAAGGUGUGUAAGGGUGUUCUAAAGCAAUAUGUAUAAAUAAUUAAAACUAUGCGAUUUGUUUAGAAGGUACAACAAAAAUGGAAUGAAAGUGGAAUAAAAUUUGCUUGUGUAUAACAUUUGUUUUCAAAUACAUUUUCCGAUAGAUUCAAAAUUUUUUAUUUUUAUUUCUAAUGUUAAUGUUUAAUUAAGUCUUGUCUAAUUUGAGCAAUAGAAAUUUCAUAUUAUUUUUGGAUAUCCUAUACACCACUACAGAUGAGGUGCAAAUAAAUCGAUGAUAGGGAAUACGCAUACAUAGGUACAUACGUCUUCAUUACAUAAAAUAGGUAGCGGAUCUUUAUACGAAUUAUCAUUUUUGUAGACUAAUUCACAAAAAUAUAGAAAUUAUACAGAAACUUAUUCCCGUUCUUAAAAGUUCCAUUAGAUUUUAUCGAAACUCGCGUUUCGCAACCGCUUUGAACAUUCGUACAGUUAUUGCCAUAUAUAAAGUCCGCAGUCUAGUUGUAAUCGUCCAUAAAACGUAAGAAUUUUGAAAUUACCUGUACAAAAUUGACAUUUACACAUUAACUACUUAGAGGUAAUUUAUAGACAUGUAUCCGCCGCGAAGUACCGAUAUAAAUUGGGCGCUGCUUGCACCGAUCUGUAAUUCUCUAUCACCUCACGUGCAUAUUUGAUCCUCUCUUCUCGUAUGCACGAUCAAUUAGAGCGAAAGUGAUUGAGCAUGAAGUCCUGAUUAAAACUUCGGCGUGGUUGCCGAAGGUAAUUGAACUCUGUUGACCUUAAUACAGAGAAGGAACGAUCAAACUGGCCGAGAACGUGCGACAAUGACAGAGACUUUCUUAGUAGGCAAAUUAUAGUAAAUGUAAGGGACUCCGAUCAUCGGGUCUACGAAACGUUAUUAGACAAAUCUUUGCCGAGUUUUCUUUUUCCUUUCGUUUUAAUGCUUGAAAAAAAAGAAUACCUUGUUGUUAAUGUUUAAGCAAGUUACUGACAACUUGUCGUGUGUCAACCUAUAACUGGCUUAAGUAACGUGCCCUGCGUACUGUGAUUGGAGUGUUCUCUCGUGGGAGCAAGGUGUGAGAUCGCGUUAACUUGUUGACGAAAGAUAUUCGAGAAUCGGUUCUUCCUUGAACAUGUAAAGAACGAUUAACAAAU
Molecule: non-coding RNA, 10752 nt
Organism: Nomia melanderi (Alkali bee)
Lineage: Eukaryota; Metazoa; Arthropoda; Insecta; Hymenoptera; Halictidae
Source: RefSeq, a predicted model, not a curated record